Molecule: ribosomal RNA, 292 nt
Filed under: uncultured bacterium
Lineage: Bacteria
Description: partial 16S ribosomal RNA
Rfam family: Bacterial small subunit ribosomal RNA
Source: RNAcentral
GUGCCAGCAGCCGCGGUAAUACGGAGGGUCCAAGCGUUAUCCGGAAUCAUUGGGUUUAAAGGGUGCGCAGGCGGUAAAGUAAGUCAGUGGUGAAAUCUCUCGGCUCAACCGAGAAACUGCCAUUGAUACUGCUAUACUUGAAUAUAGUUGAAGUAGGCGGAAUGUGACAUGUAGCGGUGAAAUGCUUAGAUAUGUCACAGAACACCGAUAGCGAAGGCAGCUUACUAAACUAAAAUUGACGCUCAUGCACGAAAGCGUGGGGAGCGAACAGGAUUAGAUACCCCGGUAGUCC